This 595-nucleotide long non-coding RNA is filed under the name Salmo salar (Atlantic salmon). RNAcentral's name for it is "lncRNA (ENSSSAG00000106341.1)". Lineage: Eukaryota; Metazoa; Chordata; Actinopteri; Salmoniformes; Salmonidae. The record is from RNAcentral.
GCGAGACAUUUUUCAAAAACGUUUUUCAAGACACAGGAGAGGUCGGGUUGAAACAUUACUGAUGUUUCACGUUAAAAAUGGUCCUAAAGAUUGAUGCUAAACAACGUUUGACAUGUUUGAACGAACGUAAAUAGAUUAUUUUUUUAACUUUUCGUCGUGACUUUCCCCCCCACCCUACUUUUGAGUAGCCUAACAACAUGGAAAAACUUGGAGUUAUUUGGACAUAAAUUAUGAACUUUGUCGAAAGAAACCACAUUUGUUGUGGCCCUGGGAUUCCUGGAAGUGCCAAUGGAUGAAGAUAAUCAAAGCCCUCUCUCUGCAGGGUGAUGGGCUGCAGGCUUCCUAAGCUGCGGAGGGAGGGGGAGGAGAGGAGUCCCGUAAAGAUUUUUUCCACCCUCCGACGGCCACAGGUGGAGACCAAGGUGGGCGUGGCCUACACCUACCACUUCCUGGACUUCCUGUUAGGGAAAGAAGGUUGCUGAGGCACUCUUCCAGCAGGUCUUCAGGCAUUAUGGCAAUCUGGAGGACAUCGUCUCCGGCUGUGGCCACCAAUUCACAUCACAAGUAUGGAGGGCCUUCAUGGAGAAGCUCGGCG